GGCCCGAUCCCGGACUCGCUCGCCCGCCUCCACAGCCUCGACUCCGUGGACCUCUCCAACAACAGGCUCACGGGCUCCAUCCCAAACUCCUUCGCCGACCUCCCGAACCUCCGCUCCCUCGACCUCCGCCGGAACCUCCUCACCGGCCCCAUCCCUGCCAGCCUCGUCCAGGGCCAGUUCAGGUCACUCAUCCUCUCCUACAACCAGCUGACCGGCCCGAUCCCGCGUGACGACGCGCAGGACGAGAUCAACACCGUGG
RNAcentral lists this long non-coding RNA (259 nucleotides) under Brachypodium distachyon (stiff brome). RNAcentral's name for it is "long non-coding RNA (BDIS_LNC000340)". The record is from RNAcentral. Lineage: Eukaryota; Viridiplantae; Streptophyta; Magnoliopsida; Poales; Poaceae.